AGUCACCGCCUUAGUCGAAUUUUCGCUAGCGCCUCUUGAUCACUUGGCGGAGAUGAAUGGUUCUCCACUUGUUCGAUGUGUAGUUGUUCCACUUUAUCAAGCUUCUUAAAUAAUGAAGAAAAUGCUCCAGUAAAUAUCGAGAUUCGAGCCGUGAUGACUCCUUUUAAGGUGCAAUGGUGGAGUCAAACUAUUUGGCUCGUUUGUAGCUGAACUAUUCAAGAAAUGGUGAGAUUUGGAUAUAUCUAUAGAGAUACAUGUUUUCAUAUCUCAAGCACAGCAAGAAAGCCGAAGGAAAGUUUGCUUGCAGAUUUACUUGGAGCUCUUAGAAGGAAAGCCUGUUAAACCUGCACGGGCUGUUGCCAACAACCAUCUGACAAGAAUGGCAGAUGCAUUUCGAGCUUAACACAAUAUGCUUCCAUCAAAUUAUCAUAAUCAGGCUACUGUCUCCCCACACUAAUUAGACAAGAUCGACUGCCAUCUGCAAAACGGUCACCGGACAGAAAGAAACAUGGAAAAAACCGGUGGCGUCCACAGAUAUCUUCAGCCUUGUCAUUUCUAGUAUGCAAAUGAGUUCUCUGGUAAAACCUACGUUGCGGGAUACUCUUUCGCUCAUUGGACCUGAGAGGGAGGAUGAGCAAGUGAGGCAAUAUAUCAUUGAAGACUUGUGAGAUGUUUUUUGGACCGUGGAAAGUCUUAGAGGGGCCAUGGUGGAACCAUUUGGCUCUUAUGUAUCUAAGCAUUUGACCAGAACAUAUCUAUAGAGAUACAUAGAGGUCGCAUAUUUUAAAUAUUUGGAGAAACCAGAAGGAAAAUUUACCAGAAACUGUACUAGAAGCUCUCUGAAGUGAGGGUAACCUGCCUCCUUUUUAGUAAUCUGCUUGACAAUUGACAUAUAGGUUUGAGAACUGCAGCUGUUGAACAAAUUGCAAGAACAUUUGCUGCGGACAAAAACUGGUUUAAACGGUCUAGGCGGAGAAAUGAAAGUUCUCUGAUCUGCUCGUUUCAUUCUUUGCAAAGUUCUCUGACAUUGAUAUGAGGGCCUCAGAACAAGGCAUCAAUCCUUACUCUGGACAGUACGAAGAUAUUGGGAGAAGCAUGGCAUGGCUGCCUCAGACAUUAGCACUCUAUGUAAUCCCACACACACAGAUUCCCUUGUGCUGGCGUGUUUCUCAUUGCUGGAGACUCUGUAGCUGCUUAAUCAAUGCAUGUUUAGCUCCUUUUUCACUUCUUACAAAUUUAUUCUUAGGUUAUGGAUCCUUUUGAGCAGCCUAAUAAUACUGCAAGGCCUAUUAGCAACAAAACCUUCAGACAGAAACACUGGGGGAAACUAUGACGGGAGUCAUCCACAGGUCAACAGAGAAGCAUCAGCACCAUCACAGUCGCAUCUAACUUAAGAUGUAAUGAAUGAUAAACGUUCUAACAAUGCGACUGUCAGCAGACCAGUGCAGCCAAUUCAAGCACAACAGAUCUGGAGGGCAAAACCCAAGAGCUAAAUUCCACGAGGAUGGACCUACAGCCUGCCUUCGUAUAUUAAUUAUUGAUAAAGAUAAUAUUGCUUAUUGUUAAUCAAGUCUUUAUAAAUGGUUUGUUGUAAAAAUAACAUUAUAACCAUUAAGUUUAAAGUCAAUGUAAAUGUUUUAAUAAAUUGUGUGUUGGCCUA
Molecule: long non-coding RNA, 1660 nt
Organism: Daucus carota subsp. sativus
Lineage: Eukaryota; Viridiplantae; Streptophyta; Magnoliopsida; Apiales; Apiaceae
Exons: 7
Source: RefSeq, a predicted model, not a curated record